UUUAAUAUUGCUAUAUUAAGUGCUAAGGUUAAUAUCAGGACGAAGGGUAUUAAUUUUAGAAGAGGGAAUUAGGUGAGAAUCCUAAGCGAUCCGGUCACUGUAUUCAGGGAGUGAACCUUCAUAAUCCAUUGCAUAACCCAUUGUGUGAGAAGGAGAAGGCAAACUAUGAUCUGUAAGUCAGGAAACCUGCUUAAUGUAUGAGAUGCGC
RNAcentral lists this non-coding RNA (208 nucleotides) under Robinsoniella sp. RHS. The record is from RNAcentral. Lineage: Bacteria; Bacillati; Bacillota; Clostridia; Lachnospirales; Lachnospiraceae. RNAcentral also lists the same sequence under 1 other name.